GCAAGUCGAGGGGUAUAGUUCUUCGGAACUAGAGACCGGCGCACGGGUGCGUAACACGUAUGCAAUCUACCUUUCACAGAGGGACAGCCCAGAGAAAUUUGGAUUAAUACCUCAUAGUAUAAUGAGUUGGCAUCAACACAUUAUUAAAGUCACAACGGUGAAAGAUGAGCAUGCGUCCCAUUAGCUAGAUGGUAAGGUAACGGCUUACCAUGGCUACGAUGGGUAGGGGUCCUGAGAGGGAGAUC
RNAcentral lists this ribosomal RNA (245 nucleotides) under uncultured bacterium. Its description in RNAcentral is "partial 16S ribosomal RNA". It matches the Rfam family "Bacterial small subunit ribosomal RNA", at positions 57 to 305 of the family's 1533-position model. The record is from RNAcentral.